GUGACUGCGGCGUGCUAUACAUGCAAGUCGAGCGAAUGACGAGGAGCUUGCUCCUCUGAUUUAGCGGCGGACGGGUGAGUAACACGUGGGCAACCUGCCCUGCAGACUGGGAUAACUUCGGGAAACCGGAGCUAAUACCGGAUAAUCCAUUUUACUUCAUGGUGAAAUGUUGAAAGGCGCUUUCGCGCCACUGCAGGAUGGGCCCGCGGUGCAUUAGCUAGUUGGUGGGGUAACGGCCUACCAAGGCGACGAUGCAUAGCCGACCUGAGAGGGUGAUCGGCCACAUUGGGACUGAGACACGGCCCAAACUCCUACGGGAGGCAGCAGUAGGGAAUCUUCCACAAUGGACGAAAGUCUGAUGGAGCAACGCCGCGUGAGUGAUGAAGGUUUUCGGAUCGUAAAACUCUGUUGUAAGGGAAGAACAAGUACGUUAGGAAAUGAACGUACCUUGACGGUACCUUAUUAGAAAGCCACGGCUAACUACGUGCCAGCAGCCGCGGUAAUACGUAGGUGGCAAGCGUUGUCCGGAUUUAUUGGGCGUAAAGCGCGCGCAGGUGGUUUCUUAAGUCUGAUGUGAAAUCUCGCGGCUCAACCGCGAGCGGUCAUUGGAAACUGGGGAACUUGAGUGCAGAAGAGGAUAGUGGAAUUCCAAGUGUAGCGGUGAAAUGCGUAGAGAUUUGGAGGAACACCAGUGGCGAAGGCGACUGUCUGGUCUGUAACUGACACUGAGGCGCGAAAGCGUGGGGAGCAAACAGGAUUAGAUACCCUGGUAGUCCACGCCGUAAACGAUGAGUGCUAAGUGUUAGGGGGUUUCCGCCCCUUAGUGCUGCAGCUAACGCAUUAAGCACUCCGCCUGGGGAGUACGACCGCAAGGUUGAAACUCAAAGGAAUUGACGGGGGCCCGCACAAGCGGUGGAGCAUGUGGUUUAAUUCGAAGCAACGCGAAGAACCUUACCAGGUCUUGACAUCCCAGUGACCACUCUAGAGAUAGAGUUUUCCCUUCGGGGACAUUGGUGACAGGUGGUGCAUGGUUGUCGUCAGCUCGUGUCCUGAGAUGUUGGGUUAAGUCCCGCAACGAGCGCAACCCUUGAUCUUAGUUGCCAUCAUUUAGUUGGGCACUCUAAGGUGACUGCCGGUGACAACCCGAAGAAAGUUGGGAA
RNAcentral lists this ribosomal RNA (1160 nucleotides) under Rummeliibacillus stabekisii. Its description in RNAcentral is "bacterial SSU rRNA". It matches the Rfam family "Bacterial small subunit ribosomal RNA", at positions 33 to 1180 of the family's 1533-position model. The record is from RNAcentral. Lineage: Bacteria; Bacillati; Bacillota; Bacilli; Caryophanales; Caryophanaceae.